UCACCGCUUACGCGGGCAGUUUCACUAGAGUCCCCGGCUUUACCCGAUGGCAACUAAUGAUGGGGGUUGCGCUCGUUGCGGGACUUGACCCAACAUCUCACGUCACGAGCUGACGACAGCCAUGCAGCACCUGUGUUACGGCUCCCUUUCGGGCACACCCAGCUCUCGCUGGGCUUCCGUACAUGUCAAGGGUAGGUAAGGUUAUUCGCGUUGCAUCGAAUUAAUCCACAUCAUCCACCGCUUGUGCGGGUCCCCGUCAAUUCCUUUGAGUUUUAAUCUUGCGACCGUACUCCCCAGGCGGACAACUUCACGCGUUAGCUGCGGUACUGACCGGUAAACCGGCCAACGGCUAGCAUCCAUCGUUUACGGCGUGGACUAC
RNAcentral lists this unclassified non-coding RNA (379 nucleotides) under uncultured Gammaproteobacteria bacterium. RNAcentral's name for it is "contains 16S-23S intergenic spacer region". The record is from RNAcentral. Lineage: Bacteria; Pseudomonadati; Pseudomonadota; Gammaproteobacteria.